Molecule: ribosomal RNA, 482 nt
Filed under: uncultured bacterium
Lineage: Bacteria
Description: partial 16S ribosomal RNA
Rfam family: Bacterial small subunit ribosomal RNA
Source: RNAcentral
AUUGAACGCUGGCGGCAUGCUUUACACAUGCAAGUCGAACGGAAACAGGCCGCAAGGUGCUGACGAGUGGCGGACGGGGGAGUAAUGCAACGGCACGUGCCCCGUCGUGGGGGAUAACUACUCGCAUGAGUAGCUAAUACCGCAUACGAGCUAUGGAUGAAAGCGGGGGGCCGUAAGGCCUCGCGCGGUUGGAGCGGCCGAUGUCAGAUUAGGUAGUUGGUGGGGUAAAGGCUCACCAAGCCAACGAUCUGUAGCUGGUCUGAGAGGACGACCAGCCACACUGGGACUGAGACACGGCCCAGACUCCUACGGGAGGCAGCAGUGGGGAAUUUUGGACAAUGGGCGCAAGCCUGAUCCAGCAAUGCCGCGUGCAGGAAGAAGGCCUUCGGGUUGUAAACUGCUUUUGUACGGAACGAAACGGCUCUGGUUAAUACCCGGGGCUAAUGACGGUACCGUAAGAAUAAGCACCGGCUAACUACGUG